AACGCUAGCUACAGGCUUAACACAUGCAAGUCGAGGGGCAGCGCAGUGUAGCAAUACAUGGGCGGCGACCGGCGCACGGGUGCGUAACGCGUAUCCAACCUUCCCGUUACUCUUGGAUAGCCUUCCGAAAGGGAGAUUAAUACAGGAUGGUAUCUGAAUUUCGCAUGUUACUCAGAUUAAAGAUUUAUCGGUAACGGAUGGGGAUGCGUGACAUUAGGUAGAUGGCGGGGUAACGGCCCACCAUGCCGACGAUGUCUAGGGGUUCUGAGAGGAAGGUCCCCCACACUGGAACUGAGACACGGUCCAGACUCCUACGGGAGGCAGCAGUGAGGAAUAUUGGUCAAUGGUCGGAAGACUGAACCAGCCAAGUAGCGUGAAGGAUGAAGGUUCUAUGGAUUGUAAACUUCUUUUAUACGGGAAUAAAGCCCGCUACGUGUAGCGGUUUGUAUGUACCGUAUGAAUAAGCAUCGGCUAACUCCGUGCCAGCAGCCGCGGUAAUACGGAGGAUGCGAGCGUUAUCCGGAUUUAUUGGGUUUAAAGGGAGCGUAGACGGGGAAUUAAGUCAGUUGUGAAAGGCUGCGGCUCAACCGCAGCACUGCAGUUGAUACUGGUUCCCUUGAGUGCGGUUGAGGUGUAUGGAAUUCGUGGUGUAGCGGUGAAAUGCUUAGAUAUCACGAAGAACUCCGAUUGCGAAGGCAGUACACUAAGCCGUAACUGACGUUGAGGCUCGAAAGUGUGGGUAUCAAACAGGAUUAGAUACCCUGGUAGUCCACACGGUAAACGAUGAAUACUCGCUGUUGGCGAUAUACAGUCAGCGGCCAAGCGAAAGCAUUAAGUAUUCCACCUGGGGAGUACGCCGGCAACGGUGAAACUCAAAGGAAUUGACGGGGGCCCGCACAAGCGGAGGAACAUGUGGUUUAAUUCGAUGAUACGCGAGGAACCUUACCCGGGCUUAAAUUGCAGGGGACAGACCGAGAGAUCGGUCCUUCUUCGGACUCCUGUGAAGGUGCUGCAUGGUUGUCGUCAGCUCGUGCCGUGAGGUGUCGGCUUAAGUGC
RNAcentral lists this ribosomal RNA (1056 nucleotides) under uncultured Bacteroidales bacterium. RNAcentral describes it as "bacterial SSU rRNA". It matches the Rfam family "Bacterial small subunit ribosomal RNA", at positions 32 to 1087 of the family's 1533-position model. Lineage: Bacteria; Pseudomonadati; Bacteroidota; Bacteroidia; Bacteroidales. The record is from RNAcentral.